AAUCAUGUAAGAUUUUAAAAGUCGAACAGACUUAAAACUUAAACUUCUCCACUUAAUUUUAUCUUAAUUCAACAUCGAGGUCACAAACAUUUUUAUAAAUAUGAUCUUACCAAAAAUAUUAUGCUGUUAUCCCUAAGGUAAUUAAUUCUAAUUUUUAAACUUAUAAUCUUUUAUUCAAAUAUUAAUGUUUAAUUAAUUAUCAAAAUUUUAUUAAUCUAACUAUUCUCCCAAUAAAAUAUUUUAUAAUCAUUUAUUUAUUAAUUAAUUUAAAAUAAUUAUAAAAUAUAAAAUUCUAUAGGGUCUUCUCGUCCCAUAAUUCAAUUUAAGUAUUUUUACUUAAAAUAUAAAUUAUAAUAUCUUAAUCUAAGACAGUAUAAAUCUCAUCACUUCCUUCAUUCCAGUUCACAAUUAAUGAACAAAUUAUUAUGCUACCUUUGUACAGUCAAAUUACUGCAGCUAUUUAAAACCUAAUUCAUUGAGCAGAAAAAAUCUUAAAUUAUCA
RNAcentral lists this ribosomal RNA (502 nucleotides) under Nothomyrmecia macrops. RNAcentral's name for it is "partial 16S large subunit ribosomal RNA". Lineage: Eukaryota; Metazoa; Arthropoda; Insecta; Hymenoptera; Formicidae. The record is from RNAcentral.